UACGAAGGGGGCUAGCGUUGCUCGGAAUUACUGGGCGUAAAGCGCACGUAGGCGGCUUUCUAAGUCAGGGGUGAAAUCCUGGAGCUCAACUCCAGAACUGCCUUUGAUACUGGCGAGCUUGAGUCCGGGAGAGGUGAGUGGAACUGCGAGUGUAGAGGUGAAAUUCGUAGAUAUUCGCAAGAACACCAGUGGCGAAGGCGGCUCACUGGCCCGGUACUGACGCUGAGGAGCGAAAGCCAGGGGAGCGAACAGG
Molecule: ribosomal RNA, 253 nt
Filed under: uncultured bacterium
Lineage: Bacteria
Description: partial 16S ribosomal RNA
Rfam family: Bacterial small subunit ribosomal RNA
Source: RNAcentral